UACGUAGGGUGCAAGCGUUGUCCGGAAUUAUUGGGCGUAAAGAGCUCGUAGGCGGUUUGUCGCGUCGGGAGUGAAAACCUUGGGCUUAACUCAGGGCUUGCUUUCGAUACGGGCAGACUAGAGGUAUGCAGGGGAGAACGGAAUUCCUGGUGUAGCGGUGAAAUGCGCAGAUAUCAGGGGGAACACCGGUGGCGAAGGCGGUUCUCUGGGCAUGAUCUGACGCUGAGGAGCGAAAGUGUGGGGAGCGAACAGG
RNAcentral lists this ribosomal RNA (253 nucleotides) under uncultured bacterium. RNAcentral describes it as "partial 16S ribosomal RNA". It matches the Rfam family "Bacterial small subunit ribosomal RNA", at positions 524 to 776 of the family's 1533-position model. The record is from RNAcentral.